Molecule: ribosomal RNA, 253 nt
Filed under: uncultured bacterium
Lineage: Bacteria
Description: partial 16S ribosomal RNA
Rfam family: Bacterial small subunit ribosomal RNA
Source: RNAcentral
UACAGGGGGUGCAAACGUUGCUCGGAAUUAUUGGGCGUAAAGCGCACGUAGGCGGAUCGUUAAGUCGGGGGUGAAAUCCUGGAGCUCAACUCCAGAACUGCCUUCGAUACUGGCGAUCUUGAGUCCGGAAGAGGUGAGUGGAACUCCUAGUGUAGAGGUGGAAUUCGUAGAUAUUAGGAAGAACACCAGUGGCGAAGGCGGCUCACUGGUCCGGUACUGACGCUGAGGUGCGAAAGCGUGGGGAGCAAACAGG